RNAcentral lists this long non-coding RNA (273 nucleotides) under Brassica napus (rape). Its description in RNAcentral is "long non-coding RNA (BNAP_LNC023350)". The record is from RNAcentral. Lineage: Eukaryota; Viridiplantae; Streptophyta; Magnoliopsida; Brassicales; Brassicaceae.
AUAACAACUCUUCCACAACGAGUCCCUGUCAGGAUCACUCUCCAUGGCUCUCUGCUUAACAUCAUUUUCCCUUUAUAAGUCUGGUGCGAGAAGCUUGACGACAGAGGAGGCAAGACGUCGUGCUGUGGAGAUGCGAGUCGUAGUGUGGUGCGGCACUAGGAGAUAGAACUUUAGGUUCAGAAGUUUUAGUUGUAGCUUUAACUUUUUCAAAAAUUUGGUUUAGUUUGAUUUUAGUUUAAUAUACUAGUCAUAUAACCAAUUUUAAUAUACAAA